This 467-nucleotide ribosomal RNA is filed under the name uncultured bacterium. RNAcentral's name for it is "partial 16S ribosomal RNA". It matches the Rfam family "Bacterial small subunit ribosomal RNA", at positions 29 to 507 of the family's 1533-position model. The record is from RNAcentral.
ACGAACGCUGGCGGCGUGCUUAACACAUGCAAGUCGAACGGAAAGGCCCUGCUUUUGUGGGGUGCUCGAGUGGCGAACGGGUGAGUAACACGUGAGUAACCUGCCCUUGACUUUGGGAUAACUUCAGGAAACUGGGGCUAAUACCGGAUAGGAGCUCCUGCUGCAUGGUGGGGGUUGGAAAGUUUCGGCGGUUGGGGAUGGACUCGCGGCUUAUCAGCUUGUUGGUGGGGUAGUGGCUUACCAAGGCUUUGACGGGUAGCCGGCCUGAGAGGGUGACCGGCGACAUUGGGACUGAGAGACGGCCCAGACUCCUACGGGAGGCAGCAGUGGGGAAUAUUGCACAAUGGGCGGAAGGCUGAUGCAGAAACGCCGCGUGCGGGAUGACGGCCUUCGGGUUGUAAACCGCUUUCGCCUGUGACGAAGCGUGAGUGACGGUAAUGGGUAAAGAAGCACCGGCUAACUACGUG